This 2288-nucleotide unclassified non-coding RNA is filed under the name Homo sapiens (human). RNAcentral describes it as "mutS homolog 5 (ENSG00000235569.12)". The record is from RNAcentral. Lineage: Eukaryota; Metazoa; Chordata; Mammalia; Primates; Hominidae.
GGCGGUCGGUCAGCGGGGCGUUCUCCCACCUGUAGCGACUCAGAGCCUCCAAGCUCAUGGCCUCCUUAGGAGCGAACCCAAGGAGGACACCGCAGGGACCGAGACCUGGGGCGGCCUCCUCCGGCUUCCCCAGCCCGGCCCCAGUGCCGGGCCCCAGGGAGGCCGAGGAGGAGGAAGUCGAGGAGGAGGAGGAGCUGGCCGAGAUCCAUCUGUGUGUGCUGUGGAAUUCAGGAUACUUGGGCAUUGCCUACUAUGAUACUAGUGACUCCACUAUCCACUUCAUGCCAGAUGCCCCAGACCACGAGAGCCUCAAGCUUCUCCAGAGAGUUCUGGAUGAGAUCAAUCCCCAGUCUGUUGUUACGAGUGCCAAACAGGAUGAGAAUAUGACUCGAUUUCUGGGAAAGCUUGCCUCCCAGGAGCACAGAGAGCCUAAAAGACCUGAAAUCAUAUUUUUGCCAAGUGUGGAUUUUGGUCUGGAGAUAAGCAAACAACGCCUCCUUUCUGGAAACUACUCCUUCAUCCCAGACGCCAUGACUGCCACUGAGAAAAUCCUCUUCCUCUCUUCCAUUAUUCCCUUUGACUGCCUCCUCACACCCCCAGGAGAUUUAAGAUUUACCCCGAUUCCACUGCUGAUCCCCUCCCAGGUUCGAGCACUUGGAGGGCUGCUGAAGUUCCUGGGUCGAAGAAGAAUCGGGGUUGAACUGGAAGACUAUAAUGUCAGCGUCCCCAUCCUGGGCUUUAAGAAAUUUAUGUUGACUCAUCUGGUGAACAUAGAUCAAGACACUUACAGUGUUCUACAGAUUUUUAAGAGUGAGUCUCACCCCUCAGUGUACAAAGUGGCCAGUGGACUGAAGGAGGGGCUCAGCCUCUUUGGAAUCCUCAACAGAUGCCACUGUAAGUGGGGAGAGAAGCUGCUCAGGCUAUGGUUCACACGUCCGACUCAUGACCUGGGGGAGCUCAGUUCUCGUCUGGACGUCAUUCAGUUUUUUCUGCUGCCCCAGAAUCUGGACAUGGCUCAGAUGCUGCAUCGGCUCCUGGGUCACAUCAAGAACGUGCCUCUGAUUCUGAAACGCAUGAAGUUGUCCCACACCAAGGUCAGCGACUGGCAGGUUCUCUACAAGACUGUGUACAGUGCCCUGGGCCUGAGGGAUGCCUGCCGCUCCCUGCCGCAGUCCAUCCAGCUCUUUCGGGACAUUGCCCAAGAGUUCUCUGAUGACCUGCACCAUAUCGCCAGCCUCAUUGGGAAAGUAGUGGACUUUGAGGGCAGCCUUGCUGAAAAUCGCUUCACAGUCCUCCCCAACAUAGAUCCUGAAAUUGAUGAGAAAAAGCGAAGACUGAUGGGACUUCCCAGUUUCCUUACUGAGGUUGCCCGCAAGGAGCUGGAGAAUCUGGACUCCCGUAUUCCUUCAUGCAGUGUCAUCUACAUCCCUCUGAUUGGCUUCCUUCUUUCUAUUCCCCGCCUGCCUUCCAUGGUAGAGGCCAGUGACUUUGAGAUUAAUGGACUGGACUUCAUGUUUCUCUCAGAGGAGAAGCUGCACUAUCGUAGUGCCCGAACCAAGGAGCUGGAUGCAUUGCUGGGGGACCUGCACUGCGAGAUCCGGGACCAGGAGACGCUGCUGAUGUACCAGCUACAGUGCCAGGUGCUGGCACGAGCAGCUGUCUUAACCCGAGUAUUGGACCUUGCCUCCCGCCUGGACGUCCUGCUGGCUCUUGCCAGUGCUGCCCGGGACUAUGGCUACUCAAGGCCGCGUUACUCCCCACAAGUCCUUGGGGUACGAAUCCAGAAUGGCAGACAUCCUCUGAUGGAACUCUGUGCCCGAACCUUUGUGCCCAACUCCACAGAAUGUGGUGGGGACAAAGGGAGGGUCAAAGUCAUCACUGGACCCAACUCAUCAGGGAAGAGCAUAUACCUCAAACAGGUAGGCUUGAUCACAUUCAUGGCCCUGGUAGGCAGCUUUGUGCCAGCAGAGGAGGCCGAAAUUGGGGCAGUAGACGCCAUCUUCACACGAAUUCAUAGCUGCGAAUCCAUCUCCCUUGGCCUCUCCACCUUCAUGAUCGACCUCAACCAGGUGGCGAAAGCAGUGAACAAUGCCACUGCACAGUCGCUGGUCCUUAUUGAUGAAUUUGGAAAGGGAACCAACACGGUGGAUGGGCUCGCGCUUCUGGCCGCUGUGCUCCGACACUGGCUGGCACGUGGACCCACAUGCCCCCACAUCUUUGUGGCCACCAACUUUCUGAGCCUUGUUCAGCUACAACUGCUGCCACAAGGGCCCCUGGUGCAGUAUUUG